RNAcentral lists this ribosomal RNA (535 nucleotides) under Stagonospora uniseptata. RNAcentral describes it as "eukaryotic LSU rRNA". The stretch from base 190 to 343 matches the Rfam family "5.8S ribosomal RNA". The record is from RNAcentral. Lineage: Eukaryota; Fungi; Ascomycota; Dothideomycetes; Pleosporales; Massarinaceae.
UUCCGUAGGUGAACCUGCGGAAGGAUCAUUAAUUAUCAAUGCUGUAGCUCCCUUGGGGGUUACUGCACUCACCCUUUGUCUACGUGUACCUCUUGUUGUUUCCUCGGCAGGCAAUCUGUCCGCCGUCCGGAAUCAGUAAACUCUUGUAUUUAUAGUAUUAAAAUCUCUGAUAACUAUUUAAAUUAUUACAACUUUUAACAAUGGAUCUCUUGGUUCUGGCAUCGAUGAAGAACGCAGCGAAAUGCGAAAAGUAGUGUGAAUUGCAGAAUUCCGUGAAUCAUCGAAUCUUUGAACGCACAUUGCGCCCCUCGGUAUUCCGUGGGGCAUGCCUGUUCGAGCGUCAUUUACACCCUCAAGCUCUGCUUGGUGUUGAGCGCCUGUCUCGCUUUCUGCGUAGACUCGCUCUAAAGUCAUUGGCAGCGGUCGUGCCAACUUCUCGCGCAGCACAUUUGCGCUUCUUGAGGUUUUGGUGGAUUAGCAUCCAGUAAGCUCUUUUAUGACUUGACCUCGGAUCAGGUAGGGAUACCCGCUGAAC